Molecule: ribosomal RNA, 385 nt
Filed under: uncultured bolidophyte
Lineage: Eukaryota; Bolidophyceae
Description: SSU rRNA
Rfam family: Eukaryotic small subunit ribosomal RNA
Source: RNAcentral
AGCUCCAAUAGCGUAUAUUAAAGUUGUUGCAGUUAAAAAGCUCGUAGUUGGAUUUCUGGUGGGAGCGUUGGGCCGGCCCUAAGGGUCUGUGCUCAAAUGUUUUCCGCCAUCCUUGAGUGGAACUUUUCUGGCAUUAAGUUGUCGGGAUUGCUAAACUCAUCAUUUACUGUGAAAAAAUUAGAGUGUUCAAAGCAGGCUUAUGCCGUUGAAUACAUUAGCAUGGAAUAAUAAGAUAGGACCCUGGUACUAUUUUGUUGGUUUGCGUACCUAGGUAAUGAUUAAUAGGGACAGUUGGGGGUAUUUAUAUUCCGUUGUCAGAGGUGAAAUUCUUGGAUUUACGGAAGAUAAACUACUGCGAAAGCAUUUACCAAGGAUGUUUUCAUUA